This 206-nucleotide unclassified non-coding RNA is filed under the name rhizosphere metagenome. RNAcentral describes it as "partial ribosomal RNA internal transcribed spacer region". The record is from RNAcentral.
GUAGGUGAACCUGCGGAAGGAUCAUUAACACGUAUCCUUACGUUUAACCACUUUUCUUUCUUGCCGCGCGUUGCGGGUUGCGCAAGUGGUUUUGACCUGACCGCUGGAAAAAUUGACACCAUGACUAACCAACCACGCUCCUACCCCCAACGGGGUCCGGAGUAGGUAACCCCGAACAACUGUUAACAAUGGAUAUCUUGGCUCUC